Long non-coding RNA from Triticum aestivum (bread wheat), 3649 nucleotides. RefSeq lists it as uncharacterized. The transcript has 3 exons. NCBI's taxonomy places the organism in Eukaryota, Viridiplantae, Streptophyta, Magnoliopsida, Poales, Poaceae. The record is from RefSeq and is a predicted model, not a curated record.
CGACUCUCCCAGCCCCAUAUCUCACGACUCUGCUUCUCUCCUUCCUCUAGGUCAUCAAAAUAAAAAGACAAAGAAUUGAUCUCACAGUUGCCCUCCCCGGCGACGACCACACUGGUGGAUAGUAGGAGGAGGAGAUAGAUGAAUAAUUCUCAAGAUAUUCGCCGCUGGUCUUCGUCAAUACCAACAAGACAUCAUGUGUGGAUAGUUGUCGCCCUGAUUGAUGCUCACUCUCAGUCUUGCCGGUCUCUCAGUGUGUCAAAUACCUGCAAGAAUUUAACACGCUGCUUCUCUUCGGCUAUGUUGUGGAUACACCAUCAGCCAUGUCGCCUCCAGCUGGUUUCUCCCAUGGAAAUCAAUCCAUGCGCCUCCCAAAUUGGAACAAGUGAGUUGUAGUUGAUCUGGUGUACUCACUGGAUUUAUGAUGUAGUUCAAGUUUGUCUACGAUCACUACCUUUUUUUAAUUUGUUCUUUUUUGGUUGUUUGUAAUUGAAUUGGUCGUAUCUUUUUCAUUCCGUCUACAGUCAGUUUUUUCCGUACCCUUUGAGAGUGCUCUCCAGGGAUUCGUUUCUAAAUCUUCUCUGGUAUGCUCUUUGGAAUUGGAUACGCCAUGUAGAUCAGAGGGAGCACAACUAGGGCUAAUCAGCUAUAUCUUUGUCAUUUUGUUCCCAAUCUGUUUUUAUCGUGCCCUUCGAGAGUGUUCUCCAGAGAUUUGAUUCCAAAACAUCCCGGGUGCGCUGGGUAUGUCAUGGAGUGAUGGAGAUCGUGUUGGAGGGAGCACAACUAAGGCUAACGCUGCUCAGGUGCCUCUGCGAGCCUCUAUCUGACAACGGCGAUGGCUAGCAGCCUACUCCACGUAAAGGCUAGCAGGUCAGCUGACAACUCCUCCAUAUGCCAUCAAUCUUUUGAAUCACUGAUUGUUUCGUAAUGGAUGUGUCCGCACAGCAGAACCAGAAGUAUCAAGGUACCUUCAGGGAGAUUGGUUAAUUAGCUAGGUACGUAUAAAGUUGUUAAUCUAAAUAGGACGCAACUACAAGACAACACCAAUAUGGUGAACCAUGGCAUGAGAUGCCUAACAUCUGCAUGUCGUGUGCAGGGUUUGAAUCACACAUAAAGACCACCAGCUGCAUGUUCGCACAUUAUCUUUGUGGUUUAAAUAACCAUGUUCGCUCUGGCAUCCCUAUACUCACGUACUUAUUAAAAGCUCCCUGGAUUUAGAAGCAUGUGUUUGCAUGUCUUUGUGAAGAGGAGAUAGGUAGAUCCAUGUUUUAUUCUUUUCAGUUCAUGAAGAUGAAGCAAUUAGAUCAUCACAAGAAUCUUUAAUCUAAUGAUUUUUGUCCAAUUCAGAAGAAGGUUAGCAUCAUCAAUAGUCGUCGACUCAUGCCCCAACUAGCACAAAACUAUGCCUACGUCCCUGAGAGAACUUGAGUUUUGACAUCGUCCAGUUGUGGACCGCAACCAUGUUCUGAACAUCUGAAUCCGCAAUCAUGUUCUGAACAUCUGACCAUAGAACGAUAGGAGCACCAUGUACCAGGACAAGGAGCAGGUUAUGGGUUCCCCGUCGAUUCCCCUACAGGAGCAUCUUUUGAGGAGGGCCACGCUAUUUACAGGAUAGUGAAUCUGGUAAGCAUCCAAUAGAUAAAAGAAAUCAUAAUUUUCUGUUGGCAAUUUCCAUGCAAGGUUCAAACAAAUUCCUGUUUGAGCGUGCAGUAGAGUAUGUGUGGCCCAAGAUUUGAUGUUUGGCUAAAAUAUUGUGUUGUUUGCAAUUGUCAAUGGAGAUUCCAAAUUUUCUAUCUAAAUUCGUAUGACUAGGUUUUCUUUUAUUUAACAUGUCUAAAAUUCUUAUUUACAAGCAUUCAUGUGUAUGUUUUUUGAUUUUUACAAAAGAAAGAAGCCUACGCGUGUGCAUGUUUGUUAGAUUUCUGGGAGAAAGAAGCCAACAGAGUACACAAUGAUUUGUCGAAUUUGGAUGUUUCCCAUGGUCAUGCACGAAUUUAGUUAUUGAGCAACUAAUCAUUCCACCAUCUAAGCAUCUCAGCCUUCCGGUCACUUAAUUCAUUCAUCACACGACCACUGAGGCUGGGCGAAUGCAGGUAAAUCAAAAUUCUAUACUGAACAUUAGGUACCUCCAUGCUAAAAGAAAGCUAGCCCGGAGGCAUCAGACAGGCCUGCUCACCUAGCUUUAGAGUUUUUUUCUAAAUCAUUAAGAUGACACGAUUAUAGAUUUAUAAUACUAGGUUAAUCAAUUCCAACGCAAGUGACAUGUAUUCCUAUAUUUCCCUGCCCAUCGUAAGGAGUAAAAACUGUAGGAAUUCUUACAUUAUCUCAAACAUCUUGGUGUAUGUCUAUGAUCUCUUGGUCUAGCUCUGAGGUUGAUCGGAUUUCCCAAUAGGAUAAAAAAUAAAAUUUUGUCACAUAUCCUAAAUCAUCUUUAGAUCGCUUUGUAAGAGCACCUGACAGAGCUGCAUGCCUUACUUGAAUGCGCAGAAAAUCAUGUUAAUAUAAUUAAUUGCCCUGAGUGAAAUGUUUGAAUUAUUUUCUUUUGUGCACAAGCUUAUAUAUUAUUAGUUUGAAGAAAAUAAGAAUUGUAUAAUUAUCAUAUUUUAUGUGGGGGUGCUUCAUUAUUAAAUCUAGAAGUUCGUAAUAGAUAAUAUAUCAUUGUGUUGUUUUAAACUAACUUGCUCUUUUGACUGGCAAAAUGUUGAUACUGAAUCUAGGGGCAAAAUUGAGUUAAUCGCUGCUUCUUGGCUGAAUUAAUUAGUCUUUUUCCUUGUGAAAUUUUAUUGUCGCCAUACACAAGUUAUGCAGGGGUAAAAGUAACAAUUGUUUUAUGGGCAUGCUAAAUGUGUAUUUCUGCAGUACUAAAUAUUGUUAUUACACCAAUUUGCUUUGUCGGAGGUAUCAUUUAUGCCCUAAUACUCUGUUAUGUGGGGCCAAGCCGGCAACAUAUCUUGAAAAUUUUAGCUUGACAUAUCUUUGUGCCACUCAUGCCCACAUGUGCUAAGUUGUUCCAAGUAGGCGGAAGGAGACUAUUGUAUACGUAGUUUAGCUACAUAAGAAUGUUUGGGCUUUCAGUAAGCAAGUCUGACCAGUUGAUAACUUAUUUGGUUACCUCCAACAUACAUAUGUUUAAGGCCUCAAUAAACAAUAUAUAUUUGAACAUUGACCUUACCUUGAGAAUAAUGUUGCUGCUGCAGAGGUAUUUCUCUCUUAAUUGGCAAGUUUUUGCUGUCAAGGUAUCACGGGGGCUAAACUCUUAUAUUCUUAUAUAGUCAAUAUCAUGAUACGCAUUCCACCGCCAUGAUCACAAGUGUGCGAAUGAGCAACUGGUGCACAUGGUUCUGUCCUAGCCCACGAAGAACAACAUUAUGAGGCUGUGAAGAAGGCCGACGUUGAGAGCUAGGAGAAGCACACCACAAUGUGAUGGCACUGUGAUGGAUUGAAUAACCCGUGAAGAAGGUCAUCCAAAAGAAUUCGGUGGUUUUCUUCCUAGGAAAUGCAAGAAACUCAAACAUGCAUGUUCAUUCAUGGUGGUAAAAUAAAAUUUGCACAACACUAUUUUUCUAACUUAUCUGGUACUAAUGGGAAGUGUAUUAUUGAGGAAUGCAAAUCAUUUUAUCCCUGCUGCUAGAUUUUUCUACCAUGUGAUCAG